Molecule: long non-coding RNA, 382 nt
Organism: Stegastes partitus (bicolor damselfish)
Lineage: Eukaryota; Metazoa; Chordata; Actinopteri; Pomacentridae
Exons: 3
Source: RefSeq, a predicted model, not a curated record
UGUAUAAUGACAUGUCCUGUGUCUUCCAGGUGUUUGCCAGAUGUACAACUCCAGCGGGUGCUGAUGUUGCUGUGGUUCUCUUGGAGGUGGUCUCAUAAGGACCCUGCCCCAGCUGUCACUUGACGUACUUAGGAACGUCCUAACUCAAAAGAAUCACAGGUACUGAACUUGAAUAUGUGUGUCAUUGUUUUCUAUUCUUUUUUAUGAUAAACGCUUCCUUGUAUGAAUUUCCCAAACAGAAGUGGGCUCAACUUGUGAAGCAGCGGAUGACAGAGAUGAGAUACGAGGAAGCCUUGAAAAGCAUCUGUAGGAACCAGCUCCAUGGAGUCCUUUGCCAGAAAAAAGACGUCCAGAGCCAGGAAGAGCCCUGACAUGACUCCGG